RNAcentral lists this unclassified non-coding RNA (181 nucleotides) under uncultured Herpotrichiellaceae. RNAcentral describes it as "sequence contains ITS1". Lineage: Eukaryota; Fungi; Ascomycota; Eurotiomycetes; Chaetothyriales; Herpotrichiellaceae. The record is from RNAcentral.
UCGAGUUAGGGUCUCUCAGGCCCGACCUCCAACCCUUUGUUUACCCAACCACGUUGCUUCGGCAAGCCCGCUCCUCCGGGGGCCGCCGGGGGGUGUAAAAACCCUCUGGCCAGUGCUUGUCGAUAGCCCAACUUAACUCUUGUUAAAAGAUGUCGUCUGAAGUAUAAAAUAAAUUAAAGCA